CCUACGGGAGGCAGCAGUGGGGAAUAUUGCACAAUGGGGGAAACCCUGAUGCAGCGACGCCGCGUGAGCGAUGAAGUAUUUCGGUAUGUAAAGCUCUAUCAGCAGGGAAGAAAAUGACGGUACCUGAGUAAGAAGCCCCGGCUAACUACGUGCCAGCAGCCGCGGUAAUACGUAGGGGGCAAGCGUUAUCCGGAUUUACUGGGUGUAAAGGGAGCGUAGACGGCAGUGCAAGUCUGGAGUGAAAGGCGGGGGCUCAACCCCCGGACUGCUCUGGAAACUGUACGGCUGGAGUGCAGGAGAGGUAAGUGGAAUUCCUGGUGUAGCGGUGAAAUGCGUAGAUAUCAGGAGGAACACCAGUGGCGAAGGCGGCUUACUGGACUGUAACUGACGUUGAGGCUCGAAAGCGUGGGGAGCAAACAGGAUUAGAUACCCGUGUAGUC
Molecule: ribosomal RNA, 440 nt
Filed under: uncultured bacterium
Lineage: Bacteria
Description: partial 16S ribosomal RNA
Rfam family: Bacterial small subunit ribosomal RNA
Source: RNAcentral